Molecule: ribosomal RNA, 515 nt
Filed under: Escherichia coli
Lineage: Bacteria; Pseudomonadati; Pseudomonadota; Gammaproteobacteria; Enterobacterales; Enterobacteriaceae
Description: partial 23S ribosomal RNA
Rfam family: Bacterial large subunit ribosomal RNA
Source: RNAcentral
AUGGAGCCGACCUUGAAAUACCACCCUUUAAUGUUUGAUGUUCUAACGUUGACCCGUAAUCCGGGUUGCGGACAGUGUCUGGUGGGUAGUUUGACUGGGGCGGUCUCCUCCUAAAGAGUAACGGAGGAGCACGAAGGUUGGCUAAUCCUGGUCGGACAUCAGGAGGUUAGUGCAAUGGCAUAAGCCAGCUUGACUGCGAGCGUGACGGCGCGAGCAGGUGCGAAAGCAGGUCAUAGUGAUCCGGUGGUUCUGAAUGGAAGGGCCAUCGCUCAACGGAUAAAAGGUACUCCGGGGAUAACAGGCUGAUACCGCCCAAGAGUUCAUAUCGACGGCGGUGUUUGGCACCUCGAUGUCGGCUCAUCACAUCCUGGGGCUGAAGUAGGUCCCAAGGGUAUGGCUGUUCGCCAUUUAAAGUGGUACGCGAGCUGGGUUUAGAACGUCGUGAGACAGUUCGGUCCCUAUCUGCCGUGGGCGCUGGAGAACUGAGGGGGGCUGCUCCUAGUACGAGAGGACCG